This 468-nucleotide ribosomal RNA is filed under the name uncultured bacterium. RNAcentral's name for it is "partial 16S ribosomal RNA". It matches the Rfam family "Bacterial small subunit ribosomal RNA", at positions 28 to 507 of the family's 1533-position model. The record is from RNAcentral.
GACGAACGCUGGCGGCGUGCUUAACACAUGCAAGUCGAACGGAAAGGCCCUGCUUUUGUGGGGUGCUCGAGUGUCGAACGGGUGAGUAACACGGGAGUAUCCUGCACUUGACUUUGGGAUAACUUCAGGAAACUGGGGCUAAUAACGGAUAGGAGCUCCUGCUGCAUGGUGGGGGAUGGAAAGUUUCGGCGGUUGGGGAUGGACGGGCGGCGUAUCAGCGUGUUGGGGGGGUAGUGGCUUAGCAAGGCUUUGACGGGUAGCCGGGCUGAGAGGGUUACCGGACACGUUGGGUCUGGACUAAGGCCCAGACUAGUAUGGGACGCAGCGGUGGAGUGUAGUGCACAAUGGGCGGGAGGAUGAUGGAACGACGCCGCGUGCGGGAUGAGAGCCUUCGGGUUGUUAUCCGCUGCCGCAUGAGACGAAACGUGAGUGACGGUACUGUGUAAAGAAGCUCCGGCUAACUACGUG